AGGACGAACGCUGGCGGCGUGCUUAACACAUGCAAGUCGAGCGGUAAGGCCUUUCGGGGUACACGAGCGGCGAACGGGUGAGUAACACGUGGGUGAUCUGCCCUGCACUUCGGGAUAAGCCUGGGAAACUGGGUCUAAUACCGGAUAUGACCUCCUAUCGCAUGGUGGGUGGUGGAAAGUAUUUAUCGGUGCAGGAUGGGCCCGCGGCCUAUCAGCUUGUUGGUGGGUAAUGGCCUACCAAGGCGACG
RNAcentral lists this ribosomal RNA (248 nucleotides) under uncultured soil bacterium. Its description in RNAcentral is "partial 16S ribosomal RNA". It matches the Rfam family "Bacterial small subunit ribosomal RNA", at positions 26 to 278 of the family's 1533-position model. The record is from RNAcentral.